This 325-nucleotide ribosomal RNA is filed under the name uncultured bacterium. Its description in RNAcentral is "bacterial SSU rRNA". It matches the Rfam family "Bacterial small subunit ribosomal RNA", at positions 28 to 355 of the family's 1533-position model. The record is from RNAcentral.
GACGAACGCUGGCGGCGUGCUUAACACAUGCAAGUCGAGCGGUAAGGCCCUUUCGGGGGUACACGAGCGGCGAACGGGUGAGUAACACGUGGGUGACCUGCCCUCAGCUCUGGGAUAAGCCUGGGAAACCGGGUCUAAUACCGGAUAUGACUCCAUGACGCAUGUUGUGGGGUGGAAAGCCUUGUGCGGCUGAGGAUGGGCCCGCGGCCUAUCAGCUUGUUGGUGGGGUGAUGGCCUACCAAGGCGACGACGGUAGCCGGCCUGAGAGGGCGACCGGCCACACUGGGACUGAGACACGGCCCAGACUCCUACGGGAGGCAGCAGU